UACGGAGGGGGCUAGCGUUAUUCGGAAUUACUGGGCGUAAAGCGCACGUAGGCGGCUUUGUAAGUUAGAGGUGAAAGCCCGGGGCUCAACUCCGGAAUUGCCUUUAAGACUGCAUCGCUAGAAUUGUGGAGAGGUAAGUGGAAUUCCGAGUGUAGAGGUGAAAUUCGUAGAUAUUCGGAAGAACACCAGUGGCGAAGGCGACUUACUGGACACAUAUUGACGCUGAGGUGCGAAAGCGUGGGGAGCAAACAGG
This 253-nucleotide ribosomal RNA is filed under the name uncultured bacterium. RNAcentral describes it as "partial 16S ribosomal RNA". It matches the Rfam family "Bacterial small subunit ribosomal RNA", at positions 524 to 776 of the family's 1533-position model. The record is from RNAcentral.